UCCCCUCUUGCAGUCACAGGUUGACUAUAUGCAGAGGUCUCUCAAAGUGUGCCUCAUGGGUCCCUCAGAAUCUGGUUAAGAUGCAGAGAAAUGCCUGGGCCCCAACCCAAAUCUGCUAAAUCAGAUCUUCCGGGGGUGGAAUCUGGAAAUCUCCAUUUUUAGCAAGCUCCCUGGAGGAUGACCUUAGCCACAUGAAAGCUCUUGCAGCCGUGGUGGAAAGGAUCAUCCACGGUGACUUGCAGCUGUGAGUCCAUGAGUCUAGUACACUCUCUCAGGCCUUGAGCGGGGAAGGAAUCAGGGCUUACUGAGCCACCCCCAUCUUCCAGGCACUGUGCUAAGUCCUUUCCAUACCUCAUUUCAUUUCAUCCUCGCAAUAAACCAGGUACUGUUAUUACCACCGUGAAACAGGUGGGGAAACUGAAGCAUGAGGAGCUUGAGUAAUGUGUGUUAGAUCACGCAACCAGUAGUGGCAGAGCUGGAAUUCCGACCUGGGACUGCCUCCAAAGUUCUUGCGUAAGAAUACAGCUGCUACACUUGCCCUUCUUCAGCUGAGACCAAGGAGGGAAUUCUGAUUGAAAGCAAACCAGGGAGGAAAGAUGCACUAGCACUGACCUGUAACAGGUCAAUCUGUGCCAUGGCAUGGCGAGACGAAGUGGAGAACCCAUGUCUCAUUGGAAUCCCGGAUCAUCGUCUCCACGAAGGCUGUCUUCUGCAGCACUCCAGGGACUCACGGCUCUGGGCUUAUUGCUCAGUGUCAUGUGACAGUUUGUACCAGGCACAUCUCCAGAAUUGUUGUCCUUUAGAAAAACAUCUUGGUUCCAAUGAGAAAACAAAUAAAGAAAGCUAGAGUCUUAAAAAGCGAAUUCGGAAAUCAAUCUAUCGACCAGAUCAUUAUCGGGGGCGGGGGGGCCGAAGGGGUCGGGGAGGGCCAUGGUGGUGAAUAGAGAACAACUUUUCAUAGCUCUCCUUUACAGGAAAAUCCAGUAUGGUUUAUCUCUUCCCAAAAUAUUCAUGAUGGUCAUGAAGUAACCCCUGAGCCUGGAAUUGAGUUAAGUUUGGUAUUCACAAAGCUGUGUAACUUUGAACAGGUUGCUUCCCUUCUCUGAGCCUCCGUUCCCCUAUCUGGAAAUCUUGUUAGAUCAUUUCUUUUUUUUUUUUUUUUUUUUUCAGACGGAGUCUUGCUCUGUAGCCCAGGCUAGAGUGCAGUGGCACAUCUCGGCUCACUGCAAGCUCCACCUCCUGGGUUCACGCCAUUCUCCUGCCUCAGCCUCCCAAGUAGCUGGGACUACAGGCACCCACCACCACGCCUGGCUAAUUUUUUGUGUUUUUUAGUAGAGACGGGGUUUCACUGUGUUAGCCAGGAUGGUCUCGAACUCCUGACCUCGUGAUCCGCCCGCCUCGGCCUCCCAAAGUGCUGGGAUUACAGGCGUGAGCCACCGUGCCCGGCCCUUGUUAGAUAGUUUCUAAGAUCAUUAUAGUUCUAACAUUCUGUGAAUUUAGUGCCUGGCAUACACUAAGUGGAAGGAGAGAGAAAGAAAGGAAGGGAGAGGUGAAGGGAGGGAGAAAUCAAUCUGUGAAAGCUGUCUUUCAUAGAGACAAGAAUGAGUGUCUUUUCUGCCUCCAAGGACACUGCCUCUAUCUCCUCAGCACAUGCUGAGUUGAACUGUUGAUAAUGUAAUAAGCUCUGCCUCAUUCUCCCUUGAAAUACCACUUUUUAGCCUGUGUUGUCACAGAAGAAAAUGAGUCAAUUAGAGAAUUCAAGCAAGAGUGCUCUUUAAAAAGGACAUGUAGAUAGUUAAUUGCAGUCAAUUAGACCUGUUGUCUUGGUGGCUGGGUCUCCAGAUAGGAGAAGAAUGGGAAACGCCCAAAGGUUACUCAUCUCUGGCAAGGAAACGCUGAGCUGUGCCAUUUGACAGUGGCAUCCAGGAAGUGUUGGAGCAUCCAACCCUGUCUCCAGGGAGGCUGGCCUCUUCAUCCCUGAUCUCAUCUGCAGGACUUUUUCCCCACUAAGAGGAGCAAAGUUCAAGCACUUUCUCCUUGCCACUGGAGAGAUGAGACACAAAUCAUAGUUAAAAGAAUGGCAUGGCAGGGCUGUGGGACAGCAGGACACACUGUUCUCAGGGAAAUGGUUAUUGGGCAUUUUGCAGAAUGUUUUGAGGAAGCAACUGCUCCUAAGAAUACUGUUAUGUUUGAGCAAUUUCAGACAAAUCUUGGAAAGUUUCUUCACAUGGUGAUAUCAGUUAGGCCCUAUCAACCUCUUCAAAUGAAGCCAAAAUUACCUCUUCUAACCCAACUCCAUAGCUGGUAGAAAUCUAGUGCUACCCCAGAUUCCUGCCAACCUCCAUGUCAUGGAGAUUGGCAACCAAAUUUAUAUGUUGAAGUCCCAGCCCCCAGUACCUUGGAAUGUGCCCUUAUUUGGAAAUAGGUUGCUGUAGACUUAAUUAGCUAAAGUACAGCCACAUCCAAGUAGGGUGAACCCCUAAUCCAAUAUAACUGCCAUCCUUAUUAGAAAAAGAAAUUUGGAGAUUGCCCCACCCCUCGAACCCACACAAACACGGAGAAUGCCAUGGGAAGAUGAAGGCAGAGAUUGGGAUGGUGCUUCUACAGGCCAAGGAAUGUGAAGGACUGCCAGCAGCCCCCAGAAGCUAGGCAGGAAGCAUAGAACAGUUCCUUCCUCAGAACCCUCAGAAGGAACCAACCCUACCAACACCUUGAUCUCAGACUUCCAGUCUCCAGAACUGUAAGACCAUAAAUCGUGUUGCUGAAGCCACUGUCUUACAGUUUGUGGUAUUUCGUUACGGGAGCCCUAGCGAAUGAAUACACUCUGCCCCUACUGAGGAGAUGGUGUUAUGGGAGCUUUGGUCCUCCAGGACCCGCCUCCAGAGCUCUGCCUUUUUCUAUACCUGCUCAACCCAGAAGUGAAACUGCGCUCCUCUUUGCCUGACCCACCACUGGGCACUCAUAUGAAGCUUAUGUGAACUUACUAAAGGUUUGAGAAGGAUGCAAGUCAAGGCCAGUCCUGAAGUGCACACUCUCCAUAAUCCCUGAAGACUCAGACUCUCCUCCUUUACCCUCUCUGUUCCCAAAGCUCCUGGAAGCUCAAAUUCCUUCUGAGCUUUCUCCAUUUUUUUUUUUUUUUUUUUUUUUUUUUUUUUUUUUACAGAGCAGUUUCCCACAUCCUCUGAGAAUUUGCCACCUGCUGCCACCCAGACCCUGAGGAAAGACCCCUUCCUCCAAAGCUCUUUUCAACAUAUUUCUCCAGGCAAAGCUAUUUUCUUCCUCACUGGCACAAAACAUUUUUAAAAAUUAAAUCAUUGUCACUGAUUAAAACAAAAAGAUACUGACUGUAUUAAUUUUCUAUUGCUGCAUAACAACUUACUACCUAUUUAGUAGUUUAAAACACACAUGCAUUUUCUCACUGUUUCUGUAGGUCAGGAAUCCAGGCACCACUUAGUCGGGUUUUCUGUUUAAGAUCUUCUCAAGGCUGCAGUCAAGGUGUUGACAGGGCUGUGUUCUCAUCUGGAGGUUUGACAGGGAAGAGUUCACUUCCAAACUAGCUUGGGCUGUUGGCAGAAUUCAUUUCCUUGUGGUUGGAAGAGGCAAGCCCUCAGCAUCUUGUUGGCUGUGGGCUAGAGGGUGCUCUCAGCUCCCAGAGGCAGCUUCUCCUUGCCAUAUAGGCUUUCCAACAUGGCUGUUCACCUCCUUAAGCCAACAAAGAGAGUCUCUAGAGUGAGUCAGUUAACAAGACAGAAACUUUCACAAUGUAAGGUAAUCAUAGGAGUUACAUUUCAUCACCUUUGUCAUAUUUUCUUGGUUAGAAACCAGAGGUCCCACCCACACUUAAAGGGAGAGAAUUACACAAAGGUGUGAGAGUUAAGGAUCAUGGGAAGCCAUUUUAAAAUUUGUCUGCAUAUGACAAUGCAGCAGGUACAAUUGGCUCCCCGGCAGCCAGCCCACCCCCUAGCUCCAGGGGAAAGCCUGAUUGGUCCAAAGGUAACCAUGCUCUUUUCCAUGAUUGGUUUGGGAAUGAGCAUGUGACCCAUCUCCAGCCUAUGAUGUGAGAAGUGUACUGAGUAACUUCUUAGUUUCCUUGCUCCUAAGACGGAACUAGGAAAAAUGAUGGUUUCUUUUCUUCCUCAGGAUGUUUUAGUGUUUAGUUGGAACCCUGGAUCUGCAGCAACCAUCUUGCUACCAACUUGAGGGUGAAGCCAGCCGUAAGAAUAGCAGGCCGGAAAGAUGGAAGAAACCUGGCUUUCCAAUGUCAUCAUUUGGUUGCUGAAUCAAUUGUACCUAAAGCUCACUCUAUCUGUUUUACCUUGAGUUAGGGUUGCCGUUGCUUGCAGCUAAACGCAUCUUCUUUUUUUUUUUUUUUUUUUUUUUUUUUGAGAAGGAGUCUUACUCUAUCACCCAGGUUGGAGUGCAGUGGCGCGAUCUCAACUCACUGCAACCUCCACCUCCCAGGUUCAAGUGAUUCUUGUGCCUCAGCCUCCCACGUAGCUAGGAUUACAGGCGUGAGCCACCACGCCCGGCUUAUUUUUGUAUUUUUGGUAGAGAAGGGGUUUCGCCAUGUUGCCCAGGCUGGUCUUUAACUUCUGGACCUUAGGUGAUCCACCCGCCUCAGCCUCCCAAAGUGCUGGAAUUACUGGCAAGAUCCACCACACCCAGUCUAAAUGCAUCUGAAUAUAACAUGACUCUCCUAGAGAAAAACCUGGAACCCAGAGCACCUGAAUAGAAACUCUUAAUUAUAUCAAUGAGGAAUAGUUAACUUAGCCAAGUUUCCAUUGAAUAUGAAGAACUGUAAAAUAAUGUCAGUUCUAGCCAAGAACUGAAAAGUAAUGUCAGUACUCUAUAAUGUGUAAUUCAUAGUUGCUACAUGUAAUCAGGCUUGGCCAAUUGUUUCCAGGAAGAUGGCACCCUCAUUUCUGAAUGAGGAUGACCAUUUUCCACUAAUCCAGAGGUAAAACAGUCAUUGUAACUGCACUGAAAUUUGCUGUAUCAAGUGAGACAUGAAGGUAAAUGUCAUUGGCCCAGAGUAAUUAGUCUUUUCCAGUGCUUAAAGGAAGGGAGAGAAACUAAUGCCUAUUGAGUGCCUUCAAAGCUUCUGCAAUGUGCUGGUACCCACAUGUUUCCAAUUAUUCCUCACAACACUAUGGAGAGGUUAUUUUGCCUGUUUUGCUGAUCAGGGAACUGAGACUCACAGAGUGACACCAACCCAUCAGUAUUUCAGGUUUCUGGGGAGGGUCCAGAGAGCAAGGGGGAAGCUGCUAAUUGCUUGUUGGUUCAAGAGAAAUGUUAUCUCAGUAGACUAACGUAUGGACUUUCUGAUGUCAGAAAAUGCAAACUAUGUAGUGUAACCUGUUUGCCAUUUUUUCUUUGUAUCCGCAAACUGACAGCAAAAUAUAUUGCACAAGUAUUAUAAAUCUGUUCAGUUCAAGUGCCAGAGAACAUUUACUCUGCUUCCUUCAUGAGGUAAUUCAAAACUUUGUUUUUAAUAUUUAUUGAGUGUCUGGGUAGGUAAACUGCUAUGCCGUCCUAUGGGGAAUUUCAGAUGUGUUGUCUGUGUGUGUGUGUGUGUGUAUGUGUGUGUGUGUGUGGUGUUUUCUGGUUUUGAUUGUUGACGUUUUCUUGAUUUUUUUUGACAGGAGCAUCUUUAGAUAUUUAUUUAUUUUAUAAUUCAUACAUACAUAUAGUAAAAAGUUCAGAUAGUUUUAAAAUAUAGUGAUGUGUAAAUCUCCCCUCACUUGUGAGCCCCAGGCAUUCAGCUCCCCUCCCUAGACGCAAUUAUUGUAGUCAGUUCAAAGCUUGUUUGUGCACAUACAAGUCUCUGUGUAUAUCCUCUACACACACCCAGAAGAGCAUACUAUACAUGCUCUAGACUGUGUUAUGUUUCUUUGAAUGGCUACGAUGUAAUUUAUUAAUCCAGUUCCCUAAUAAUAGGCAUUUAGGUACUUUUCAUGUUUUUCUCAAUGUGUAAUUGUACCAUUAAAAUUCUUGGGUUUUUUUUUGGUUUUUUGGUUUUUUAUUAAGAGUCUCGCUCUGUUGCCCAGGCUGGAGUGCAGUGGCGUGAUGUCAGCUCACUGCAACCUCCGCCUCCCAUGUUCAAACAAUUCUCGUGCCUCAGGCUUCCGAGUAGCUGGGAUUACAGUCGCCCACCACCAUGCCUGGUUAAUUUUUUUGUAUUUUUUAGUAGAGACAGGGUUUCACCAUGUUGGCCAGGCUGGUCUCAAACUCCUGACCUCGAGUGAUCCGCCUCUCUUGGCUUCCCAAAGUGUUGGGAUUACAGGCAUUAGCCACAGCGAAAAUCCUUGUAUUCAUGCCUUUGCCCAUGUUUGCAAGUAUAACUGGGAGAUAAAAUGCUAGAAUUGCAGGGUCCAAAAAAAAGCACAUUUUAAUUUUAACAACUAUAACCCAGUUGCCUUCCAAAGAGGCUGUACACAUGUUUCCCUGUCUCAAACAGUGGUGAGCAUGCCUGCUCCCCUACAAACUCACCAGCUCAGAGCAUUAUCAGGCUUCUCAUCUCUGCCAACCUGGUAAGUACAAAGGGCAUCUCUUGUAGUUUCGGUUGCAUUUUUCUCAUUAUGAGAUUGAGCAGCAGACAAUGUCUUUAAAAGACUUAUUUUGCUCUGGGUUUUAAUCUUAAAAUACUCUAAAUCCUCUUAGAAGUAGGUAGGGUCAGAUCUUCAAUCUGGAUGGAUUUACGUAAUGGGUCUAUGAAAGGGAUAGAAAGUCAAAGCAAGGGGGUGAGGCGGGGGAAUGAUGCGAAGUCAAAGCCCUCCCCCUCGGGGGCCCCUAGCCCAUCCCUGAUCCCUCACCCUUUGCAGGGCAUGUCCAGAGCUGCCACUGCCCUGGGCCUCCACCCCACAGCCCAGGACCACACCUUAACCUGGAAAGUCGUGGACCUCCUCAGGGGAGCUCAGGGAUCAGAUGGGCCGAUGGGUGUUACUGUGGCCAGGAGCACUGGGUCUUGAGUAUGUGGGUGGAACUUUCCCUCAUCCCCUGACCACGUCUAACCACAUGGCCUCUCCACUUUGAUAGUGGCGAGAAGAGUAGCCUCUUGCUUUUGCAUGUUUUCCUAAUCACAGCGUGCUUUCUUGUCUGCUAUUUCAUUUGACUUUUUUCAACCAGCCGCUGAGGUGGGGAUUAUUAGCACGCCCUUUGCAGAUGAGGAAACUGAAGCCCAGGGAGCUUUGGCAACCUGCCCAAGGUCACACAGCCAGUGAAGGAAAGGGCUGAAAUCAAACCAGGCCUGUCUGACUGCAAGGCAGGGUCUUACGGCUGCCUCCGGUGGGUAGGUCCGGGACCCAGCUGGUUUCCGUCCUGUGGCUCAGGUGCGAGGAGAGCCUCCCUGGGCCACCUGGGGAAGUCUGACUGACGUGCCAGAUCCUCACAGAACAAAGGUAAGGCCUCAGCCUUCCCCCUGGCCCAGGUCUUUCCAUGUCCAGUGCAUUCCUGAAUGCUCCCAGUACUCUGGAAAAUGGGGAUUCAUGCUGCCAUUUUAAUUGGAACCCAAUCUGUUCUGACUUCAAAUCUAGUGCUCCUUCUCCAUCCACCCACCCUCCCUGAACCAUGCCCAGGAGAUCGAGAGAUUUUCCUAAUAAACAAGUCAUGUGCUACAAUGCAUGUGCUACACAACCACUGCCCGCUUUGUCUCUCCCCCUAGGAGAGAAGGGGACUCCUGAGAGGCCCCAGCAGCGUUAUCUGGGCAGAGAAAGUGAGUUUGAAGACCUCACACUCCAUCUGGACUUUAUCAGCUCCUUUCCUGGGUAGGAUUACAGUAAACGAUUAUCUACAGAUCUGGAGCCAGCAAGGACUUUGAAGGCCCCAAUUGCCAAGGGGGUGGUGAAAUGGGGGAAGGGCUGGAGACGCAGGAGAUGAAAAAGCAGUGCAGGCAUCUUAUCUUCCUCCUGAAAUCAAACAGGCUGGGCCUGGGCAGGGUGGGAGAGGUACCCUGUCUGUGAGGCUGACAGUCUCUAGCCCUGGCUGGCCACAAAAGAUACAGAGAGAACCAGAUGAAGGCCCUUCACUGUCUUCUCCUGAUCCUCUCUCCCUCCUCCUGGUUUCUUUUAUUAAUUCAUUCAUUCACUUGCAUCUUUCAGCCUGUUAGUUACAAUAUCUGACACGCUCUGAGCUCUCCCGCCAAGCCAAGUGCUUAGCAUCCAUCCCCUCAUGUGGUCUUCACCAUGACCUUCUGGGAGAGGUGCCAGAAUUAGGCCCAUUUUACAGAUGAGGAAAAUGAAGCCCCAGAGGCUAAGUAAUAGGAUGAGCCUGGGAUCACACAGCUAGUAAAUGGUAGGGUCUGGAUUCUCUUAAACCUGCAUACAUUUAUUCUUCCAUUUCCCCCUGCCUGCCUGCUUUCCUCUCAUAAUUCAUUUAUGUAUUCAGUUUUUCAUAUUCCCAUUGCUUGUUCAUUUUGAAGUUCCUUCCCUUCUUGCUUAUGCAUUUCUUCUGUCCCUUCCUGUCUUCCUCCUGUCUCUUCCUUCCUUCCAUGACCACAUCCUGAGCCUACUGUGUGCCCUGUCACCCUGCCAUCAGGACAUGGGGCUCCUGACAGAUGACUGCUGGGGAGGGAUAUGUGAGACCACCUCCUCCAGGGUCGACCUCCUCAAAUGAGGCUUUUGGGCUGUGCCUCCCUAUGCCUGAUUUGUCCCAGUGUUUGCCAAAAAUUUUAGGCUUUGAUAAUCUUGUGAAGAUGUUUCAGCCAAGCAAGUCUUGAGACUCCAUUGGUGUGGGAGUAAAAGUGGCCUGGGGAAGCCACUUCUUGCAGUUUCCCCUAAGCAAGGCUCUUUCUGUCCUUGCUGUUCUGACAUCCACUCCCUCAGCAAACAUCAUUAAGGACCUAUCAUGGGCAGCCCCUGGGGCCCACUCCCAUCCUCUAGCUGUCUCGAUUUCAUACCUCCCUAGCUCUAGAAAAUUCACUCCUAGAAGGCAGGGAAUUGGCGUCAAGGAACGGGUUCACAGCCUUGGACUCCUUUAUUCAUUCAUCUUUUUUCCUAGCACCUAACACAGGGCCUGGCUUAGACUGAAGGCUAAUAAAUACAGGAUCAAAAGGCAGUGAACCAUCAUUCUCUGUCACUCUCCAGGAGCUGGCCCACUCACCGUGCUAGACAUUGUACUGGAUAUAGUAGUCCCGCAUCGUUGUAUCACUCUCAUUUCUAGCUGGAGAAGUACCCCUCCUUUUCUAGGUGCGGUUAUGGGGUCGCUAUCACCUGAAGUGCCCGCCACUCACCCUGUAGUCUUGGGUGGGUAUGUGAUCUCAGCUAAAACAGUCGAGGUCUCUCUCCCUGGGCUUGGAAUUGUAAACCAAGUGAUGCAGAGAAAGAAAAAACACAAGCCCUUGGAGCCCAUCACAUCCCAUCACCGAUGAGGCUGUCCAGCGGUUCUGGCCCUCAGAAGCCCCAGAGAACUCCAGUUUCUGUCCUUUUCCGAGUGUGGCUUUCUGUCCACUUUAUGGCUGCUCAACCUCCCUCCAGUAUGCCCCUUCUCCCCUUAGUCAGUGAAUGUCUGUUUCUGUGCUUGCAAAUGAUAAAUCCUAAAUGAUGCCCCAGGACAUGGUUUCCAAGGCCAGCUAUUGGAGCCUCACCAGAAAUGUUCAUUCUGCCUCAUCAGUGUCUUGGCUAUUGCCUUUUUGGAACUGCUCUGACCUCUCCUCUUUCCAUCCUGCAGCACCCCCUCUCUCAGCACCAGGGAGCUCCUCCAGGAGCACUUCCUCCCAUGUCUGUGUUCGCCGUUAAGACUGGACACACCAGGAUGAUCUUUCAACUUUGGGUCCAAAGGCCCUCAGUGGAUGUAAAAUAGGUACAUGAGGCCUUGAACUGAACAUUUUUUUCACUUCACCAUAACCUGGAUUUUCCCAGUUUAGGAGCAUCUGUUUGUCUUGAUAACGUUUGGAACAAAGUGAAAAAAACUGGACUUUGAAGAGAACUUCAGGUGAAUUACACAUUUAAGUCAGAUUUUCCAUGUCUUUGUCCCAUGUUCAGUAAUUCAAGCUGUUAGGAGCCCUCAACUUUGUACAUAUAUUUCCUUCCUAUCUCUGCCUCUUCAUACCUGGUACUUACCGUGGAAUUUGAAAUCUUUCUGUGGCUGUAAGCAAGAAAGGCGGGAAAAAUACAAGAAGUUAAAGGGGAUUGGAUGGUUCAGAUUUGGUUGAUGAAUGAGAUGGUUUAGAGGCAUGUCUUGUAAGAGAUAAUUUUCUAUGUGCCAGGUACUAUUUAUGAAUCCCACAUUAUCUUAUUAAUGCUCACAACAAGCCUUGGGGGUAAAUAGAUUAUCAUCGCCAUUUCACAGAUUAGGAAAGUGAGGUUUCAGCAGUCAAUUGCUCAAAGGUCUCCUGCUAGUGAAACAGUCGUCUAUCCAAACAGUCUGAAUGACCUGUGCACAUGGGAACGUGCCACGCAAGCCAAGGGCAGGAAGGAUGAGAAGAGGUGGGCAGAAAGCCAGCUGGGAUGAAUGAAGGACCUACUACGUGCAGGCCCAGGGUCAGACAUUUUAUUUUCUUGAUUGCACUUCAGCCUCCCAGCAGCCCUGUUUUACAGAUGAAGAAACUGAGGCUCAAAGAGCUGGAGAAAGUUGUUGCCCAGGGUCCUGUGGAGAGAAAACUCAAGCUCCGGCUGUUCCACUACUCUGGGACACCACCCCCAGUGGGAACCCCACUUUUACAAGGAUUCGAAGGUAGGUGAGGACUUAUCUCCUGAAAUAAUUAGUAUACUUACUUUUUUGUUACAUAUUCCCACUAAAGGUUUGCAGCCCCACCCAGCUUGAAUAUCAGGAGAAUGGCAACAAAAUCUGGUUCAAGGCUCACAGAAUCCACGAAAGAUGCCAGCCCCUCCACGGUUGGAGAGUGAUUCACAAAUGUGUCUUUAAGGACUUUCCCAGGCCGGGCACAGUGGCUCACACCUGUAAUCCCAGCAAGCCGAGGCGGGAGGAUCACCUGAGGUCAGGAGUUUGAGACCAGCCUGGCCAACAUGAUGAAACUCCGUCUCUACUAAGAAUACAAAAAUUAGGCAGGCGUGGUGGCAUGCACCUGUAAUUCCAACCACUUGGGAGGCUGAGGCAGGAGAACUGCUUGAACCGGGGAGGCAGAGGUUGCAGUGAGCCAAAAUCACACCGCUGCACUCCAGCCUGGGCAACAGAGUGAGACUGUGUCUCAACAACAACAACAACAACAACAAACAGAAAAAAAAGAAAAAAAAAGGACUUCCCCAUCUCAGAGCAGAAGACAAACCCAGGUGACUCUGAGUCUGCACAGAAAAGGCAAGGGUGACCAAGAGUGAGGAGGUUAAGCACCUGUUGCUUUCAGCUCAGGUCCUGACCACAGCCCUUAAUAAGGACAAACCUCUCAGAUUGCUGCAGCCUUCAAUACGCAUGUUCCUAUAGUGCCUGGCCAAUAAGAAGUACUUACACAGUAGCUGUUAUUAUUGUAAAGGCGGCGCAAAGAGUUAAGGAAGGCCGGUAGCUAAGCUGAAUCUGAGUUGCAUCUUGUAGGCCAUGGUAUGUGAAAGAAGGGCAGGCCAGGAGGGGGAACAGAGUGAGUAAAGCCCAGAGGCAGGGGCAUGGAAAAGCAGGGAGGAGUUAAGCUUGGGGCAAAUAUCCUAAAUGAAGGGGAAUAAAAGGCAACAAAGUUUGCAAGUUGCACCGGGGCCACAUCUUGGAGUUGUUUGAGAACAUGUCCCAUGAGGCUGCAUUUAACACCAGCCACUCGCGCUUCCACCCCAACAGCAGGAGUAUCACAUCCACAUGCCAUGUGCGCAAUUCCUUACUUUAUAUCCUCCUCUAAGAUAAAUCUACCCUCCCUCUUUUUUAAGCAUAAGAGCAUUUAUUCUAAAAGGAAACUUUUGGCCAGGCAUGGUGGCUCACGCCUGUAAUCCCAGCACUUUGGGAGGCCUAGGCUGGUGGAUCAUGAGGUCAGGAGUUCGAGACCAGCCUGACCAACAUGGCAAAACCCCGUCUCUACUAAAAAUACAAAAAUUAGCCGGGUGUGGUGGCACGUGCCUGUAGUCCCACCUACUCGGGAGGCUGAGGCAGAAGAAUUGCUUGAACCCGGGAGGCAGAGGUUGCAGUGAGCUGAGAUCACACCACUGCAGUCCAGCCUGGGCAACAAAGCAAGACUCUGUCUCAAAAAAUAAAUAAAUAAAUAAAUAAAAGGAAACUUUUGCUCACUAAUGGAAAUGGAAGUGGCACCUGUCAUAGGCAGAGACAAAUUGUCAAAGUAAACAACUUUUAAGUCUCACUAGACACUCCUGCCCCAGCAGAAUCUGGUCAAAAGCUAGGUCAGCAAAUUUCAGAGGCAGUAUUAAGGACAAAGUAGCAACAAUCCAAACUUUCUUUUUAGGUACUCAGAAAGACUAACAGAACAUUGAGAAGGGGUGUUAGUCACAUCCCCAAACUGCAAGAGGCCAGAAGAUAGCGAGGGGUCUUUCAAACAAUCUAAAAUCUGAGACCCCAAUGUUGGAAAAGAGAAGGAAGGGAAUGGGUUAAAGUGCCAGUUGCUCCCUCCUCAGAUAGCAGGGCCCUGGACAUCCCUAAGAUGUCCCCUUCCUCUUUCAUCCUUCCCUGAUUCCAGCCUCCCCACCUUCCCCAGGCUGGCUUGCCUGAUUUUGUGAGCUCUUCAGCCGGCUUAAAGUGUAAUUCUGUAUUUCUGAUUCUAUCUGUGUUCCAGGAGGCAUUAUCUCUAUCUCUGUAAUAGCUUCUCAAGCAAAAACAUUUUACUGGGUAAAAGAGCAAGGAAUAGGCAUGACCUGAUGCUGAUUUAAAGCAAGAUUCCAGGCAAGCCCCAGAGCCCUCUCUAAGUAGCCUCUCUCCUUUCUGCUGUCUAACGAAACAGCUCCUAAUGGCCAUGGUAUCAUAUUGUAUCUCAUAUUUACACAGCACUCGGCACACAUUCACUUAUUCAGCGGACAUCCAUUGAGGGCCUAUUAUGUGCCAAGUCUUCUGGGUGCUGGCAAUCAACAGUGAACAAAGACCCGUGAGGUUCUUGCUCUACUUGGGAAAACAGGCAAUAAACUCUGAAACAAGUAAAUAAACACGAUCAUGAUGAGGCUACUGAAAAAGCAAUGUGGUAGCAGCGUGACGAUGAUGUGCCAUGGGAGACAGGUGGCAACAUCAAAAAAGGUAGACUGCCCCCGCCCUCCGAAGAGGUGGCAUGUGAGCAAGAAGGAGCCAGCCAAUGGAAAGCUCUGAAAGCAGAGUCUUUUAAAAACAAAACAAAAUCAAAAAACAAAAACAGGGCUCAAAGAAGAUGUCUGCACUUCUGCCAGACGGGGCAGAAAGAAGAUAAUGGUGCUCCAAUCAGGGAGACUGUGGAGGCAGUACAGGUGACAGGAGGCAGGGAAACGAGAAUUAGCCAGAAACACAGUAGGUUUGCCAUGUCAGUCAGACACUCGAGUGUGUUCUUGCUCUUCUCAACAAACCAUAAAGUAAGGACGAUCAGUGUUUCCCAUUUUACAGACAGGAAAACUGAAGCUCGGGAAGGCUACCCAGGUACAUAGGGGCAGUGGUGGGAUGUGAAUCUAUGGUUUAGGAUGCUGACGCCAGCACUAUCCCACCUGCCUCAUGGUAGAGCAGUGUCCAGACACAGAGGUGGCAAUGCAGCAGCUCAAGUGGCAGCUCCAGCACUGCAUGUGUUUUGUCCGUUCUACAUGGGUUUGGAAAAACUCACCUGAGCUAGCGAUCAACUCUUAAAUAUAACCCUUCACUCAAAAAUCUGGCUGUCUAUCUGAAAAUAUUUGAAGACCUGGUCAUAGUGGGACCAUGAUUUGAAUGACAACAAUGGGCUGGAGCAGUAUCUCUGCCCACCUUGAGAGAGGGAUGGGCACUCUGUUUUUCCACAGCCCCCACCUCUCCCGAUUGCUUGCCCCGGCCCCUUCACUCCUCUCCAUUGCAUUCAUGGCCUCCCUAUGCAUUCGGCUUUGAGGCCCCAGCUCUCUAGUGAUGAAAUAUGUGGGAAGAUCCACAAAGCCCAGCAAACGAGGAGUGACCAGAGGAAUUGAGUUACAGUUCCUCCCUAGAACACUUUCCUGCCUUUCUGAUGUAAUCACUUUGCGCAAACAGUAGGAAAUGUUCAGAAGAGCUGCUACAAGGCGGUGAUUAAGAGGUCAGGCCUGGUUCUUAAUUCUAGCUUCAGCAAGUCCUAUCUGUGGGACUUGGGCAAGUUCUAAAAACCUCAGUUUCUUUAUCUGUAAAGCGCAAAUAAUAAUAAUGCCUACUUUAUAAGUAGGAUUAGGGGAAACAGUAAUUUAGGAAACGUGCUCGGAAUGAUGCUAGUUUCGUGGUGAGUAUCCAAUAGAUGGAGCCGUAGUUGUCUUUCUCAUCUUAGAAAGCAGCUGAUUCUCCCAUGUCAUGACAGUGUUUGUGCAACUCCUCUGGAAUUCUCUCCUUUCUUCCUUAGGAGAGCAUUUUCUCAAUGUUCCUCUUUAUCUUUCUCCAAACACAAAGACAAAUCUAAGAGGAAAAAAAAAAUCUUCAAACUGGGUCGCAGAUACUCAGCUUCUUGUCAAUUCUCAUUAGGGUUUAAAAGCUCAGUCUCCUGCAUAUGCCCAAAGAUAAAGCAAUCCCUUCCAUUCCUAAUUCAAAGAACCAAAAAAAAAAAAAAAACAUGUGGUUGGACCUGGUUGAAUAUAUAAACUUUUGGGGAUGGCAAUAAACUAGGCAAAGUCCUGGUUAUUCAAUUUAUUAGCUCAGUUGUGCAACGUAGAAAUAAACAGAAAAUUACUUAUAAUUUUACAAUAAUAUUCAUUUAGAAACAUCACUUUUCUCCAUAUACGUGUUGCAUGAAACAGCUUUACUCCAUUCUUUGCCACACAUAAGGAGGCCGAGGAGGGAAGAUGGCAUGAGGCCAGGAAUUCAAGGCUGCAGUGAGAUAUGAUUGCACCACUACACUUCAGCCUGGGCGACAGGGUGACACCUCAUCUCUAAAAAAUAAAAUAAAAUAAUAAAAAAAUUUUGGAAAUUUUUAAAGCGUCUGCUCCACAGAGCCACAUUUUGCAUUGUGCAGUUUCGUUUUUCAGACCUUUCUCCUCUCUUCCAUCUGACUGCCCUGAGAUCCAGCACUUUUUGCUUCCACAUCUGAGGCUGUCGCUGGAAACAAGGUCUCCAUCCCAUUUGCAUGACAUGAGCACAGUCGGGAUUUGUAUUCAUUCUGUGGGUGUGUGUAUAUUCGUGCUCUCCACAAAAGAACCACUCAGCAUUGCUUUUUCAAGCCGAGCUUUAAAAGGCUUAUUUGCCAUGACAUCCAGCACUUGUAAUUUGAGGUCAUACCCCGAGGAAGAAUUGCUAAAUCUGUGUAAAAUGUUUCUGACUCCUUUUCUUACAGAUUCUGUCAGAUUAUCUCUUUAAGAAUUCUAAGCCCAUGUUGUUUGAGGUGGUUUUAGGCUAAUGUACAUUCCCCAAACAUUUCUUUGCUGUUCAAAAUAAAGCAAUUGAGAGGGUUCUUCGUAAAAACGAAGCACUUUGCAAGAGCUCAAGACAAAAGACAACUCCCUUUUUUCUAGGGGGUAAUUUUGAGGAUAGAAGAAAAACAGUGUUCUAUGUAAGCCUGUACAAUCACGAGAGCCAUUUGCUGAGGGCCAUGUGUGCGAGUGGUUCGUGUGCUCUCCACCUCCUCUUCUUCCUCCCAGGGGAUGAAAUGAGGCCCAACAAGUGCAAGACAUGGACCAUGUCAGCUCGUGACAGAACAGGGCUGGAACCCAAGUCUGCUAGGCUCAGCCCACUCCCUCCCUGUGCCGAGUUGACAUAUUCUACUUACAUUAAGCCAAGUGCUGGGCUCUGAUUAUACAAAAUCAGAUAAGCCAGGACCCUGUGUUCAAGGAGCUCCCAGGCCUGCUGGGGUGAGAGUGGAGCAGCAAGGAUGGAAGUGCACAGAUGCAAGGGUGGCCAGGCCUAUGGGGAUACAGGCAAGGGAGGCUGAGUGUU
RNAcentral lists this long non-coding RNA (15906 nucleotides) under Homo sapiens (human). RNAcentral describes it as "HSALNT0098250". Lineage: Eukaryota; Metazoa; Chordata; Mammalia; Primates; Hominidae. The record is from RNAcentral.